Molecule: ribosomal RNA, 254 nt
Filed under: uncultured bacterium
Lineage: Bacteria
Description: partial 16S ribosomal RNA
Rfam family: Bacterial small subunit ribosomal RNA
Source: RNAcentral
UACGUAGGGUGCAAGCGUUGUCCGGAAUUAUUGGGCGUAAAGAGCUCGUAGGCGGUUUGUCGCGUCUGCUGUGAAAACUCGGGGCUUAACCCCGGGCCUGCAGUGGGUACGGGCAGACUAGAGUGCGGUAGGGGAGACUGGAAUUCCUGGUGUAGCGGUGAAAUGCGCAGAUAUCAGGAGGAACACCGGUGGCGAAGGCGGCUUGCUGGGCCAGUUCUGACGCUGAGGAGCGAAAGCGUGGGGGAGCGAACAGG